RNAcentral lists this non-coding RNA (28 nucleotides) under Bombyx mori (domestic silkworm). Lineage: Eukaryota; Metazoa; Arthropoda; Insecta; Lepidoptera; Bombycidae. The record is from RNAcentral.
UAAACAAGCAAAACAAUUUCAGGUUCUC